RNAcentral lists this ribosomal RNA (513 nucleotides) under uncultured bacterium. RNAcentral describes it as "partial 16S ribosomal RNA". It matches the Rfam family "Bacterial small subunit ribosomal RNA", at positions 28 to 507 of the family's 1533-position model. The record is from RNAcentral.
GACGAACGCUGGCGGCGUGCUUAACACAUGCAAGUCGAACGGAAAGAGGGAAAGAGCUUGCUCUUUCCGGAAUUGAGUGGCAAACGGGUGAGUAACACGUAAACAACCUGCCUUCAGGAUGGGGACAACAGACGGAAACGACUGCUAAUACCGAAUAAGUUCCAAGGGCCGCAUGGCCCAUGGAAGAAAAGGUGGCCUCUACCUGUAAGCUAUCGCCUGAAGAGGGGUUUGCGUCUGAUUAGCUGGUUGGAGGGGUAACGGCCCACCAAGGCGACGAUCAGUAGCCGGUCUGAGAGGAGGAACGGCCACACUGGAAUUGAGACACGGUCCAGACUCCUACGGGAGGCAGCAGUGGGGAAUCUUCCGCAAUGGGCGAAAGCCUGACGGAGCAACGCCGCGGGAGGGAUGACGGCCUUCGGGUUGUAAAACUCUGUGAUCCGGGACGAAAAGGCAGAGUGCGAAGAACAAACUGCAUUGACGGUACCGGAAAAGCAAGCCACGGCUAACUACGUG